This 402-nucleotide ribosomal RNA is filed under the name uncultured bacterium. RNAcentral's name for it is "bacterial SSU rRNA". It matches the Rfam family "Bacterial small subunit ribosomal RNA", at positions 29 to 431 of the family's 1533-position model. The record is from RNAcentral.
AUUGAACGCUGGCGGAAUGCUUUACACAUGCAAGUCGAACGGCAGCACGGGGGCAACCCUGGUGGCGAGUGGCGAACGGGUGAGUAACACAUCGGAACGUGCCCAGUCGUGGGGGAUAACGUAGCGAAAGCUACGCUAAUACCGCAUACGAUCUACGGAUGAAAGCGGGGGAUCGCAAGACCUCGCGCGAUUGGAGCGGCCGAUGGCAGAUUAGGUAGUUGGUGGGGUAAAGGCUCACCAAGCCGACGAUCUGUAGCUGGUCUGAGAGGACGACCAGCCACACUGGGACUGAGACACGGCCCAGACUCCUACGGGAGGCAGCAGUGGGGAAUAUUGGACAAUGGGCGAAAGCCUGAUCCAGCCAUGCCGCGUGAGUGAUGAAGGCCUUCGGGUCGUAAAGAC